RNA transcript from Drosophila guanche, 2784 nucleotides. It is a transcript of the gene named trehalase, with no coding region annotated. The transcript is spliced from 7 exons. Lineage: Eukaryota; Metazoa; Arthropoda; Insecta; Diptera; Drosophilidae. The record is from RefSeq and is a predicted model, not a curated record.
CAAUAAUAAAAGUGUGUGAUAUGCGCGAACAAAGUGAAAACUCAGUUGAAACCAAAGAAUAAUCAAAUAAUUAAGUUUUAGUGAAUAUAUCAACCAGCGAACUGCAGCACUCUGUACUUAUACAAACAAUUUGAUCCCACUACAAUAAAUAUCCUAAAGUUAAAGCCCAAGUAGUGGCUAGUGUUUGAAAUGACAAGAUUAGGAUUAGUGGCCAUCCAGCUGCUCCUGCUGAUAUGGAGUUGCCUUGGGGCGCUGUCUCAGGCCAAAUCCCUCAUCGACUAUCGCAUUGACAAUGAGAAUGCCAUUGCCAAGGAUGUGGAAACAUAUAAUUUUGAAAGUUGUCAAAUCUACUGCUAUGGCGAACUCUUGAAGACCAUUCAAAUGGCCAAACUGUUUGAGGACUCAAAGACAUUUGUGGACAUGAAACUGAAGCAGGCGCCGGCCAAGACCCUCGAGGACUUUGAGCUGCUGAUGGAGUCCAAGAAUAGGACACCCAGUCGCGAGGAUCUGCAGAAGUUUGUGGAUGAUUACUUCAGUCCGAAGGGCACGGAGCUGGAAUUGUGGACACCGACAGACUGGAAGGCGAAUCCAAGCUUCCUUGAUCAGAUCACUGAUCCAGACCUGAAGCAGUGGGGCCAGGAGCUGAACAAUAUCUGGAAGGAUCUGGGCCGCAAGAUGAACGACGAUGUGCUGAAGAAUCCUGAGUACUACUCGAUCAUCCCAGUGCCGAAUCCAGUGAUCAUUCCGGGCGGCCGCUUCAUCGAGUUCUACUACUGGGACUCGUACUGGAUUAUCCGCGGACUGCUGCACAGCGAGAUGCAGGACACGGCCCGUGGAAUGAUCGAGAACUUCAUGUCCAUUGUGCAGAGAAUCGGCUUCAUUCCCAAUGGAGGACGUGUCUACUACUGGGGCCGCUCCCAGCCACCACUAUUGACGGGCAUGGUCAAGUCCUACGUGGACUUCACCAACGACGAUCUGUUCGCCAUCAAUGCCCUGGAGGUGCUCGAGCACGAGUUCGAGUACUUCGUGAACAAUCAUUCGGUGCAGGUAAAGGGUCACAAUUUGGCCGUCUACCGCGACUCGUCGACCGGUCCGCGGCCCGAGUCCUAUCGCGAGGAUGUGGAGACAGCAGAGAACUUUGACACGCCCGAGGCCAAGGAGGAUCACUACAGCGAACUCAAGUCUGCCGCCGAGUCUGGCAUGGACUUCAGCUCGCGUUGGUUCAUCAAUGAGAACGGCACAAAUGUCGGAAAUCUCAGCAACCUGAGGACACGCUCCAUUGUGCCCGUCGACCUGAAUUCCUUCCUCUACUGGAACGCCAAGCUGAUAGCCGAAUUCCACGCAAAGGCCGGCAACGUGGACAAGAUGACGGAGUACGAGAAGAAGGCCCAGACACUUCUGCAGGGCAUCCAGGAUGUACUGUGGAAUGAGGAGGCUGGCUGUUGGCUGGACUACGACAUGAUCAAUGAGAAGCCACGCGACUACUUUGUGUCCACCAACCUCGCGCCGCUCUUUGUGAAGGCGUACAACAUCUCCGAUACGGAGAAGAUCUCGGCCUCGGUGCUGAGCUACAUUGAGAAGAACAAACUGGACACAUUCCCGGGCGGAGUGCCCAAUACACUCUACCAUACCGGCGAGCAGUGGGACUUCCCCAAUGUGUGGGCGCCUAUGCAGUACAUCGUCGUCGAGGGACUGGCCAAUCUGAACACACCCGCAGCCAAGGAGCUCUCCAAGAAGUGGGCCCUUCGCUGGGUCAAGUCGAACUUCAAGGCCUACACCGACAACUUCCACAUGUACGAGAAGUACAAUGCUGAGGAGUUUGGCGGCCAUGGCGGUGGCGGUGAAUAUGGAGUCCAGACAGGAUUCGGCUGGUCCAAUGGUGUGAUCAUUGAGUGGCUCAGCAAGCACGGACGUGAGCUCUCCGAAGGCUCUGGCGGCGGUGGAGCAGGUGAAGAGCUGCAGUAGAAUGAAGGCCCCAAAAACGCUAUACAUCACACAUCCAUCAAACAAUCAAUCAAUCGCCAAAACACUCGUUAAAUCAAAUUGAUAUAUUUGUAUAUGAAACCAUCAUCAAUGUUGCUCAUCUUUAGGCUAAGAAAAUGCUCUCUAUCUUUCUACACUUCACCUAUCUAUCCCGCUAUCUCGCUGUCUAUAACUAUACUACGUAUACAAUGUAUCGCGUGCAAACGACAAGAGCAAUCGACACUUGACACCACAGCACCACAGUCAAAGCACCAAGCAACACAGCUGGAAGCAGGAAUACGAUCGCCCAAAAACUGUCUGUUAAACCAUCUUAUUGUCAACGUCUGCGCAUUCGUGUUUAUUGUCAAAAUUCAAAUCAAAAUCAAAUCAAAAUGAAUGUAGAUUGUCCUCAAAGCCGCCUCAAGUUCCAGAUAUCAGCGCACCACCAAAAGCCUCAUCAGUGUUGUGGGCGUGGCAGCUGUAACCAUAGUGGCUCUGAUAGCAGGUCGUGUUCUGUGGUGAGAGACAUAUUGCUUUGUGCCAAAAACAAAACCCCCUACGUAAUUGCUUCCCCAACGAAAAUGUGAUUCCCCCUCGCUCGAUCUGUGUGCGUGUGUCUGUGUGUAUUGUCCGUACAUGUGGUUUUUUGUCGGAAUGCGCGGAGAUUGCAGUAUUAGAUUUUGUCAUUAUUUGUUAGUAGAAGUGAGAGUUGUAUAUACAGAAUUUAUAUGGGCAUGCCCUACAUUGUUAUUAAUUAUGAAUAUUUAGUGAAUAUACCUAAAAAACAAACAAAAAACCAAUCCUAGCUCCUCGCAACCAAAU